RNAcentral lists this long non-coding RNA (217 nucleotides) under Capsella rubella. Its description in RNAcentral is "long non-coding RNA (CRUB_LNC001354)". The record is from RNAcentral. Lineage: Eukaryota; Viridiplantae; Streptophyta; Magnoliopsida; Brassicales; Brassicaceae.
UUUUUUUUUUCACUUUUUCGAGUGCGAUUUGGAUAUUUCAUUUGACUUUUAAAGCUAAGUUUCUCCCACUAUGGCACUAUAUAUAAGACUUUCUUUUUUAUUAUUUUCUUCCUUAUGUGUGUUAUAUUAUUGCUGCGUAUUUUAUGUGGUAACUGAAUAUUCUAAUAUUAAAUCAUUACUAUUAUGAAAAAGAUGGAUUGUUUAUAUAUAAGACCUU